CAUGCAAGUCGAGCGGACAGAUGGGAGCUUGCUCCCUGAUGUUAGCGGCGGACGGGUGAGUAACACGUGGGUAACCUGCCUGUAAGACUGGGAUAACUCCGGGAAACCGGGGCUAAUACCGGAUGCUUGUUUGAACCGCAUGGUUCAAACAUAAAAGGUGGCUUCGGCUACCACUUACAGAUGGACCCGCGGCGCAUUAGCUAGUUGGUGAGGUAAUGGCUCACCAAGGCGACGAUGCGUAGCCGACCUGAGAGGGUGAUCGGCCACACUGGGACUGAGACACGGCCCAGACUCCUACGGGAGGCAGCAGUAGGGAAUCUUCCGCAAUGGACGAAAGUCUGACGGAGCAACGCCGCGUGAGUGAUGAAGGUUUUCGGAUCGUAAAGCUCUGUUGUUAGGGAAGAACAAGUACCGUUCGAAUAGGGCGGUACCUUGACGGUACCUAACCAGAAAGCCACGGCUAACUACGUGCCAGCAGCCGCGGUAAUACGUAGGUGGCAAGCGUUGUCCGGAA
RNAcentral lists this ribosomal RNA (514 nucleotides) under Bacillus subtilis. Its description in RNAcentral is "bacterial SSU rRNA". It matches the Rfam family "Bacterial small subunit ribosomal RNA", at positions 54 to 550 of the family's 1533-position model. The record is from RNAcentral. Lineage: Bacteria; Bacillati; Bacillota; Bacilli; Caryophanales; Bacillaceae.